AUUUUCCUAGCGGCCGAAAUAAAAGGAAGGUUGAUCGAAGGAUCGGAUCUACAUGAAGCUUAAAAUACAGCUAGCUUAGGCGCAAGACAAUCCUCAGACGAUAUGAAUUGGAUUUGAUCUCCCUCUUGUAUACGCCAUUUAGAGGUUCACCUUCUUAAAUGACCUACUGACACUUCACUUUUUGAACGAGCUAACCGAGGCUACCUUCAAUCAACUGUGAUGUGAGGUAAGGACAAUUCGGUAUAGCUUUCCAGGUUGGUUCAAAGACUAGCCCUUGGUUAAGGGGCAGUGUUGAGAUCCAUGGAGAGUACUUAGAUAUUAGUGAGGGUAGAAGGAAUUGAAUGUCACUAACAAGACUAAGCACACGAUCCGGGGGCAAAUGUUGAUUUGCUUACUCUUUUACUCAAUUGAAUCAGCUUAGCUAAUGAAAAAGCUUCAAGGUCCAAUUUGACUAACAUAUCGCCCUUGGAAGACCUCUUCGCAAUCUCCUUCCUACCUGACGAGCACAUCAGACAAUCGGCUCUUUCAUGACUCCAUAACAACUACCUUAUCCAUUGAUCUCUUGUGAAUGUGAAGGUCCCAAGAACUACCUUCGCUUUUCAAGCUGCAGCUAUUGCUAUUGUUGUGCUUGGGAAUUGUUUGAGCUCGUUAGCUUCACAAAUCUCCCCACGGUUUAUCCAGCGAUUUAUCUUUACCCGGAUUUUAAAAAUUUUAUUUACUAUGUAUAUGUCUUAGUUGACAAAGCUGUUUACGUAAUAGGCUGCUGGCUAGAAAGAUAGG
Molecule: long non-coding RNA, 780 nt
Filed under: Trifolium pratense (red clover)
Lineage: Eukaryota; Viridiplantae; Streptophyta; Magnoliopsida; Fabales; Fabaceae
Description: long non-coding RNA (TPRA_LNC005109)
Source: RNAcentral